ACGGGUGAGUAAUGCAUCGGAACGUGCCCAGUAGUGGGGGAUAGCCCGGCGAAAGCCGGAUUAAUACCGCAUACGACCUACGGGUGAAAGGGGGGGAUCGCAAGACCUCUCGCUAUUGGAGUGGCCGAUGUCAGAUUAGGUAGUUGGUGGGGUAAAGGCCUACCAAGCCGACGAUCUGUAGCUGGUCUGAGAGGACGACCAGCCACACUGGGACUGAGACACGGCCCAGACUCCUACGGGAGGCAGCAGUGGGGAAUUUUGGACAAUGGGCGCAAGCCUGAUCCAGCCAUGCCGCGUGCGGGAAGAAGGCCUUCGGGUUGUAAACCGCUUUUGUCAGGGAAGAAAUCUUCUGAGUUAAUACCUCGGGAGGAUGACGGUACCUGAAGAAUAAGCACCGGCUAACUACGUGCCAGCAGCCGCGGUAAUACGUAGGGUGCAAGCGUUAAUCGGAAUUACUGGGCGUAAAGCGUGCGCAGGCGGUUAUGUAAGACAGAUGUGAAAUCCCCGGGCUCAACCUGGGAACUGCAUUUGUGACUGCAUAGCUUGAGUGCGGCAGAGGGGGAUGGAAUUCCGCGUGUAGCAGUGAAA
Molecule: ribosomal RNA, 588 nt
Filed under: uncultured bacterium
Lineage: Bacteria
Description: bacterial SSU rRNA
Rfam family: Bacterial small subunit ribosomal RNA
Source: RNAcentral